This 30-nucleotide non-coding RNA is filed under the name Mus musculus (house mouse). RNAcentral also lists the same sequence under 1 other name. Lineage: Eukaryota; Metazoa; Chordata; Mammalia; Rodentia; Muridae. The record is from RNAcentral.
UUCUCGGCCUUUUGGCUAAGAUCAAGUGUA